Long non-coding RNA from Motacilla alba alba, 2106 nucleotides. RefSeq lists it as uncharacterized. The transcript has 8 exons. The record is from RefSeq and is a predicted model, not a curated record. Lineage: Eukaryota; Metazoa; Chordata; Aves; Passeriformes; Motacillidae.
CUCAAGAUGGUGGCAAAAAAAGGCGGGCAAAGCGGAGGACCGCGGUCCGUCUACUGGACUGCCCGCACGGAACACCGGCGCCGGCGCGGCCCGAGCGGGAUUUUCUGUGGCGUUUCAGGCAGGCCCUGCGAUGACGGCGUCGGCCUCCGAGCGCAGCCGAAGCGUGCGCCCCGAGGAGCCGGGCAUUCUUAGGAGAAUGCAGCACAACACAGCAACCCCAACAGUGAGACCACACCGCAACCCUCCCGGUGUGACAAGACAGCAACCCUCACACCAGGACAAUGACAGAACCCUCAGAGGACAAGACGACCCACUGCAAAAAGAUAGGGACGACAUCUGAGGGCUAGAGGUAGAGUUUGGAGGCUGAACAUGUUUUUUUGAGGUGCCACAGCCUUGGACUCAGGAUGAAGCUGGAGACUCGAGGACCCAGGCACACACAGGAGAGGUUGACCGAGAGGCUGACAGGGAUCCCAGGGCCCUCUGAGGCAGACUCAUUUCAGGUCCAACGUGGAUUCACCUCACCGGUCAUCCAAAAGAUAAGUUGGGGGCCACAGCCUGGAGAUGGGAUGAUAGGAGAGUAGUGGCUUGGAAAUUCCUAGACAGAUUUAAAAAUUUGCAGAGGGUGAAGAGAUGUCCUCUAAGGGGCCCCGUGGGAUAGCUAAAGGGAGAGGCUCUGCUUUUGAUUGCAGCUGUAGGGUAUGCGGUGCAGAGCAGUUCCGGUCUGUGUUGUGUUGUUAGGUGUCCUGUGUUACCUAGUGUGUCUUUGGGGUCCCUUGGAUCCAAUAUCUCUGCCUUUUCCCCUCGAGGCCCUUAGCAAAAUCAUCAGCUGUCAUGUCUAGGUUCUCAAACGCUGGCGCUUCUCAGCAGGAUGCCAACAUCAUUUGUUCUUUUACCGGCGGGCUCAGCCGCAUCUCGAGUCACAUCUCAGAAGCAUUGAGUCAGACGUCUUUUGAGGCCUUGUUCCCGGCUGUAUCAGCAUCCAUCCUUUCCAGCCGUGAGCUGUAAAGUCCUGGGGCACGUAAGAUUGUAUGAUAUGGAGAAGAUUCUAAAUGUAUCAUUGUCUCACAGCCGCCUUGAUCAUCGUGACCAGCAGGUCUUAUAACAGGUCACUCUGUUCCAGUCUUUUCUUCUGCUCCUUAGAGGAGCUGUCUCCAUCCACUGUCCCCUGAGCAUCGGUCAUCUCUUUUGGCAUCCUUGUAGUCCUUGCCACUACUUAUUCUUGCCAGGAACUCUUUUCUCAUCAUUGUGUCACAAUUUGUAGUAUAAAGCGAUGUUUGUGUUUAGAGACCCCAUUGUUUGUCACGUCCCGUCCUGUGUCACGGGUGUGUGCACAUAUUUGUGCCGGAGCCGCUCUGCCCUGCUGCGUAGCCUGGUGGGAUAAGACAAGUCCUGGGGACUUGAAAUUUGUUGUGUGGGCUGUAGUUGGACUCUAGAUGGUAUUCCUAGAUUGACACUGGAUGUCUGGGGCUGUGAAGGUAUCCUGCAGCCCUUUGACUUUUGUUCUAACUUUCUUUCAGAUGCAGAAAGAUAGAAUCCAUGGCGAAGCACCCCAUUCCGGGUGCGGGGGUUCGGCCGAGCAGGUCAGUCACGGUUUGUGUUUGCAGAGGAAGCGUAAAUGGUGACUCUGUUACAGCACUGUUCCUUGUCUUUAUUCUUAGGAAGUCAAGCCGGAUAGCAGCAAUCAAGUUGAAGAGGGCAAGGCAGUCCACUCGGAGUAUGCCAGGCCCCCGUCACCAGCCAGCUGAUGGACAGGGUUUGCUGCUUUCAUGAGCCCUGUGGACGUCGGACAGGACUCGGUGAUGAAGCCUUCGCUUUUUCUGUUUAAAGGUGGCACCCGGGUAGCCUUUGGCAAUGGCGGAAGAGUUGCGGCGGACCCUGCGACGACGUUGGCCUCCGAGCACGGCGCAGUCAUCCCACCCGAGGACGCGGGCAUUCUUAGGAGAGCGGUGACUACGAGACAACAGCCCGGUGACAGCAGGAACUUCCCAGAUGGCGAGGCGGCCUUCCUUUGCACCUGACACGGACCGGGCUCCCCAGAUGUCAGAGAUAAGUAGAGGGCUGUGACCCAGAGAGGGGAUGAAAGUGGGGUGCUGGGUCAGGACUCAC